RNAcentral lists this small nuclear RNA (28 nucleotides) under Cervus elaphus hippelaphus. The record is from RNAcentral. Lineage: Eukaryota; Metazoa; Chordata; Mammalia; Artiodactyla; Cervidae.
GUGCUCGCUUCGGCAGCACAUAUACUAA